GACGAACGCUGGCGGCGUGCUUAACACAUGCAAGUCGAACGGAAAGGCCCUGCUUUGGUGGGGUGCUCGAGUGGCGAACGGGUGAGUAACACGUGAGUAACCUGUCCUUGACUUUGGGAUAACUUCAGGAAACUGGGGCUAAUACCGGAUAGGAGCUCCUGCUGCAGGGUGGGGGUUGGAAAGUUUCGGCGGUUGGGGAUGGACUCGCGGCUUAUCGGCUUGUUGGUGGGGUAGUGGCUUACCAAGGCUUUGACGGGUAGCCGGCCUGAGAGGGUGACCGGCCACAUUGGGACUGAGAUACGGCCCAGCCUCCAACGGGAGGCAGUAGUGGGGAAUAUUGCACAAUGGGCGGAAGCCUGAUGCAGCAACGCCGCGUGCGGGAUGACGGCCUUCGGGUUGUAAACCGCUUUCGCCUGUGACGAAGCGUGAGUGACGGUAAUGGGUAAAGAAGCACCGGCUAACUACGUG
RNAcentral lists this ribosomal RNA (468 nucleotides) under uncultured bacterium. RNAcentral describes it as "partial 16S ribosomal RNA". It matches the Rfam family "Bacterial small subunit ribosomal RNA", at positions 28 to 507 of the family's 1533-position model. The record is from RNAcentral.